Molecule: non-coding RNA, 31 nt
Filed under: Rattus norvegicus (Norway rat)
Lineage: Eukaryota; Metazoa; Chordata; Mammalia; Rodentia; Muridae
Source: RNAcentral
UUAUAAAUUGUGACAGGAGGCAUAAAACCAC